GGAGGUAUAGUUCAGGGGUAGAGUGCCUGCCUAGCAUGCAUGAGGUCCUAAGUUCAAUCCCCAGCACCUCCA
Molecule: transfer RNA, 72 nt
Filed under: Camelus bactrianus (Bactrian camel)
Lineage: Eukaryota; Metazoa; Chordata; Mammalia; Artiodactyla; Camelidae
Also listed under: 1 other name
Rfam family: tRNA
About the family: Transfer RNA (tRNA) molecules are approximately 80 nucleotides in length. Their secondary structure includes four short double-helical elements and three loops (D, anti-codon, and T loops).
Source: Rfam by way of RNAcentral